This 471-nucleotide ribosomal RNA is filed under the name uncultured bacterium. Its description in RNAcentral is "bacterial SSU rRNA". It matches the Rfam family "Bacterial small subunit ribosomal RNA", at positions 329 to 792 of the family's 1533-position model. The record is from RNAcentral.
UUCCAGACUCCUACGGGAGGCAGCAGUGGGGAAUAUUGCGCAAUGGACGAAAGUCUGACGCAGCGACGCCGCGUGAGGGAUGAAGGUUUUCGGAUCGUAAACCUCUGUCAGGAGGGAAGAAAGCGCAUGGCGCCAAUCAGCCAUGCGUUGACGGUACCUCCAAAGGAAGCGCCGGCUAAUUCCGUGCCAGCAGCCGCGGUAAUACGGAAGGUCCGGGCGUUAUCCGGAUUUAUUGGGUUUAAAGGGAGCGUAGGCCGGUCUUUAAGCGUGCCGUGAAAUUUUGUGGCUCAACCAUGAGAGUGCGGCGCGAACUGGAGACCUUGAGUGCGCGGAAGGCAGGCGGAAUUCGUGGUGUAGCGGUGAAAUGCUUAGAUAUCACGAAGAACCCCGAUUGCGAAGGCAGCCUGCCGCAGCGUUACUGACGCUGAAGCUCGAAAGCGCGGGUAUCGAACAGGAUUAGAUACCCCAGUA